GAUUAACGCUGGCGGCGUGCCUAACACAUGCAAGUCGAGCGGCAGCGAGUUUUACACUGACUUCUGGAAGCUUCUAGUUGAAAGAGAAGAUUUAUUCAAGAAUUUUGUGUAAAAUGUCGGCGAGCGGCGGACGGCUGAGUAACGCGUGGGAACGUACCCCAAAGUGAGGGAUAACGCAUCGAAAGGUGUGCUAAUACCGCAUAUGGUCUUCGGAUUAAAGCCUUCGGGCGCUUUGGGAACGGCCUGCGUAAGAUUAGAUAGUUGGUGGGGUAAUGGCCUACCAAGUCGACGAUCUUUAACUGGUUUGAGAGGAUGAUCAGUCAGACUGGAACUGAGACACGGUCCAGACUCCUACGGGAGGCAGCAGUGAGGAAUCUUCCACAAUGGGCGAAAGCCUGAUGGAGCAACGCCGCGUGCAGGAUGAAGGCCUUCGGGUUGUAAACUGCUUUUAGAAGUGAGGAUUAUGACAGUAACUUAUGAAUAAGGAUCGGCUAACUACGU
Molecule: ribosomal RNA, 501 nt
Filed under: uncultured bacterium
Lineage: Bacteria
Description: partial 16S ribosomal RNA
Rfam family: Bacterial small subunit ribosomal RNA
Source: RNAcentral